GCCAGGCGUGGUGGCACGUGCCUGUAGUCCCAGCUAUUUGGGAGGCUGAGGUGGGAGGAUCGCUUGAGUCCAGGAGUUCUGGGCUGUAGUGUGCUAUGCAGAUUGGGAGUUGGCACUAAGUUCGGCAUCAAUAUGGUGACCUCCCAGGAGUGGGGACCACCAGGUUGCCUAAGGAAGGGUGAAUCAGCCCAGGUCAGAAACGGAGCAGAUCAAAAACUCCCGUGCUGGUCAGCAGUGGGGUCGCGCCUGUGAAUAGCCACUGCACUCCAGCCUGGUCAGCAUAGCGAGACCCCGACUCUA
Callithrix jacchus (white-tufted-ear marmoset) is the source of this 300-nucleotide unclassified non-coding RNA. It matches the Rfam family "Metazoan signal recognition particle RNA". From Rfam's summary of the family: The signal recognition particle (SRP) is a universally conserved ribonucleoprotein. It is involved in the co-translational targeting of proteins to membranes. Lineage: Eukaryota; Metazoa; Chordata; Mammalia; Primates; Cebidae. The record is from Ensembl.